UGCAUCGGCUGGGAAUCAAACGCCCGCGUGGCAGGCGAGCAUUCUACCACUGAACCACCGAUGG
Cordylochernes scorpioides is the source of this 64-nucleotide non-coding RNA. NCBI's taxonomy places the organism in Eukaryota, Metazoa, Arthropoda, Arachnida, Pseudoscorpiones, Chernetidae. The record is from the annotation of a GenBank genome assembly.